Molecule: ribosomal RNA, 253 nt
Filed under: uncultured bacterium
Lineage: Bacteria
Description: partial 16S ribosomal RNA
Rfam family: Bacterial small subunit ribosomal RNA
Source: RNAcentral
GACAGAGGGUGCAAACGUUGUUCGGAUUUACUGGGAGUAAAGCGCGUGUAGGCGGCUUGGCAAGUCGGAUGUGAAAGCCCACGGCUCAACCGUGGAAGCGCAUCCGAAACGGCCUCGCUCGAGUCUCGGAGAGGAAGGUGGAAUGCUUGGUGUAGAGGUGAAAUUCGUAGAUAUCAAGCAGAACACCUGCGGCGAAGGCGGCCUUCUGGACGAUGACUGACGCUGAGACGCGAAAGCGUGGGGAGCAAACAGG